RNAcentral lists this long non-coding RNA (6757 nucleotides) under Triticum aestivum (bread wheat). RNAcentral describes it as "long non-coding RNA (TAES_LNC020954)". Lineage: Eukaryota; Viridiplantae; Streptophyta; Magnoliopsida; Poales; Poaceae. The record is from RNAcentral.
GGCUCUAUACUUGUACUAUUACAGAUGGUAAAGAAAGAGGCGACAGACAUUCCGAUUGUUGAACAAGGUGAAGCGGAAUAGCCCUAUUGUACUCUCCUGGAUGCAGAAGGCAUGUAGGACUCUAGUCCAACCCCUUGUGACGGUCAGCCACCAAUCAUGUAGUUUGAGAGGUAAUCUUGAGUAGACUGAUUCAGGAUCCACUGCAAAAGAAAAAAUAUUCAGACAUUGUCAUCUAACACAACUCAUUACGGGCAAUAAAAAGAAGGCUACAGGGUUCUUACUUACCAUCCUGCAGUUCACUGCUGUCUUGCAUAAAGUGUAAACAAAUAGUUCAAUUGACAUCUUUUGGCCCAUUUUAAUAACACUCUUUAUCAGUUUCCUCACUUGAUGCUGGUUCAUGAAUAUCUCAUUACCCCAUACGCAUAAAGGGUCGAAGUGUGGAUCUUUGGCAAUGAUAUAUGUACCUAAAAGCACCAACUUAAUAUUAGAAGCUAAACAACAAUUGAAAAAUGAUGUAGUACAACACUCCCUCCAUCCCAUUAUAUAAGAUUUUAUUACAUGUAUAUCUAGACAUCAUCAGAACAUUAAGGUAACACUCUUGUUGCUAUGUAGCCUGGGAUUGCAUAUUUAGUCAUUCAGCGCAAUGCAUGUUUCCAUGUAGCCUCGGAUAUAUUAAAUAUGGCCCUAGUUAACCUACUGAGAAAUGGGUUAUAGAUAUAUUUAGUGAAAUGUUUGAUUCAACGAUUAAUCCCUUAUCAGCCCCAGGCUAUAUGGUACCAGCUACUGAUAUCCUGAAUAGUCACUGGUGCACGUCGGUGUUACACAAACAGUUCUUAACCCCUUUCCGUGACGGCAUUUGGAACCGUCGCCAAGUGAGUGUGGGCGAUAGGGGGACCUUCCCACACGAUCCAGAAACCGUCGGGGAUAGAGAGCCUUGAUGCAUACAGUUGUCCCUAUAUAACCGUUUCUGAUAUCUCGAAUAUCCCAAAUGCUUCAUCCUUGCUACUCGUUUGUGCUUGCAUUGCCAUCGUAGUCGGAGUUUUCUGGUUUUACCUAAAGCCAGGCAGAUUCUAGGCACGGGAGUUUUACGAUGCCUGACACAUCACAAGCAGUUCAUGAUUACAAACCUUGUAUGAUAGGUAGACAAUUACACACAUUUAGUUUUCCCGCACCGUAUGUGAUAGUGUCUGACAUUACACACGUUUUGCAAACAGCAACUGUGUGCAUGCUUGUGACACCCUCGAUUCAAUCGUACACUAAUCAUACACGCAAAUGUAUAUGAUCAAGAUCGAGGACUCACGGGAAGAUAUCACAACACAACUCUAGACACAAAUUAAAAUAAUACAAGCUUUAUAUUACAAGCUAGGGGCCUCGAGGGCUCGAAUACAUAAGCUCGAAUACACAAGAGUCAGCGGAAGCAACAAUAUCUGAGUACAUCCAUAAGUUAGACAAGUCUGCCUUAAGAAGGCUAGCACAAAAGUAGCAUCGAUCGAAAAGGCAAGGCCUCCUGCCUGGGAGCCUCCUAACUACUCUUGGUCGUCAGCGGUCUCCAUGUAGUAGUAGGCAUCGACGGUGGCCUCUAGCUCCUGGGCUCCGACAUCUAGUUGGAUCAACCGGAAAGAAGAAGAAAGGGGGAAAAGGGGGAGCAAAGCAACCGUGAGUACUCAUCCAAAGUACUCGCAAGCAAGGAUCUACACUACAUAUGCAACAUUAUCAAAGGAAGGCUCUAUAUGUGGACUGGGCUGCAGAAAUGCCAGAAUAGAGGGGAGAACCUAGUCCUAUCGAAGAUUAGCAUCUUCUGGAAACCACCAUCUUGCAGCAACAGGAGGGAGUAGAGUAGCAUAAAGUAAAGUAGUAGAAGUGUUAUCAACCUCGGCCAGAGAUCCUUUCUCGACUCCCUGCGAGAAAGCAAUCCCAGAGCCAUACUAUCCAUUUAUCACCUCAUAUCCAAGCCUCAUCUCAAGUAUCCAGUUCUAGUUGUAUCGACCGGGAUACAACUCCAAGUGUCCGUUACCGUAGGAUAGGCUAUCGAUAGAUGUUUUGUUCCCCGCAGGGGUGCACCAAUUUACCCACCACACUCGAUUAACUCCGGCCAGACACACUUUCUUGGGUCAUGCUCGGCCUCGGCCAAACAAUACGCCGCAACCCGACCUAGGCUUAAUAGAGAGGUAAACACGCCGGACUAAACCUAUGCCCCCAGGGGUCAUGGGCCAUCGCCCCAGGAUCUCCUGCACGUUGCGUACGCGGCCGGUGAGCAGACCUAGCUACCUCCCUAAAAAGGCAGGAGCUUACCAUUCCAGCUCGGCGCGCGCCGCUUAGUUGCUGACGUCUAUUAAGCUUCGGCUGAUGCAUAUGACGCAGAACGCCCAUGCUAUGCCCACGUGAUGGUUAGUGUUAUCAGGCCAGAGGCCCCUCGGAUCAAAUAUCCAAAUCGUAGUGGAUUAGGAGCACGCGGGAACAAGCAGAGACUCACGAAAGAUGUGACCCCGUUUCCCCGUCUCGAGGACUUGCGACAAGGGCUAGGAAUGCCCGGCCACGCCUCGUAAUUAUCUCGCGGGCACCCUCCAGGUCAACCCGUCUCCACAUCACUCAAGGGUACCCCUCAGGGUCGACCCACCCUUCCAAGUAAUAGUUGUAAAGUCCAAGUAUCCGUGUGUCCAAACAUCAAGGGGAAAACCCGAGGAAUCACCCUCGGUGAAUUCCAUUCGAUGUAAUCAUCAAGGUGAACGUAAUAGGAACCACCCCUGAGGUUCACACUUGAGGGGCUGCACGACAGAGUCGUAUCGGAAGUGGUUAAGGCGGAAUCACCCUCGAUGACCACGACCUAAUAGCUACACUAUAGGGUUAACAUUAGAAGUGUUGUAGAGGUCUCACCCUCGGCACUCGAUAGUAACCCAGUAGUGUCGAGCAACUAAGGGGAAAGUGAUGUGUGGUGCCGGGGCCUGGUCUUCGAUCCCGUUGAUCGGGUCUUCAAUGAUGAAGCAGGGGAAACAAGGACAAGGUGGGGGUCACUGAUGGAUCACUAACCAACCUAUACUAAGCAGUUUAGGAUAAGCAGGUAAGGUACAAUAAGCAGGUUACAAAAGUAGGCUAUGCAUCAGAAUAGGAGCAAACAAUUAUAGUAGCAAAACAUAAUGCAAGCAUGAGAGAAAGGAAAUGGGCGAUAUCAGGAUUAUCAAAGGGGGGGCUUGCCUGGUUGCUCGGUGGCAAAGGCAGUGUCGUCCGCUGUGAAGUUGAUCACAAGGGCAACAUUGGUCUCGGGGUAUACCAGAGAGAAGAGGGGGAAGAAACAGUAAUUAUAAAGCAAAUCAAGCAUCAUAAAGCAUAACAUGGUAAUACGCGGUUUUAGAGGUGAACUAACGCAGUGCUAGACGUUGCAGACGGAGAGGGAAAACAUCCGGAGGGUUUUCCCGACGUCUGAUGUUUUCCGAACAAAUGAAAAGAGAGGCGACGGUUCCAUGUUUAGCAUGGCAGGGGCAUGUGACAGAUGAAUGGACCGUGUAUCCGGAUUCGUUGGAUUUUUCUGAACAACUUUUAUGUAGAAAACAAUUUCAUCCGAGCUAUGGUUUAUUUUCUAUUAAUUUUUAUAGGUUUAACAAUAUUCCAAAAUUUCUGCUUUUGAUCAAUUCGAGUUGACCAAGUCAAAUUGACUGGUCAAAUAGGUACGGGUGGCUCACAUGUCAUAGGUUGUACCAAAAAAAUAAAUAAAACUAACCUAAUUAAAUGGGACCCACAUGUCAUAGGGUAGCAACUAAUUUAACUAGUACUAAUUAGCCCCUAACCUAACUUACUCCUAAUUAAUUGGGCCAGCCAUUGGUAUAGCCAUGCCUCACUUUCACUGGCUGUGCCAUGGUUGUGUGGGCACAGUCAGCACGCAUGGGCGCUGAGCCACGACAGCCAUGGUCAUGAGUAGCAGUAGCUAUAACGCAGAAACAAGGCAUCAACUAUCAUACGCAGCAGCAGUAGUGAGCAGCAGAGCAGCAUGGAGCAGAGUAGUAGCAAAGCAGCAUGGAGCAGAGUAGUAGCAAAGCAGCGUAGCAGCAAAGCAAAGGCAGCAGCGGCGGCGGUAGCAGCACACCAGGGUGGCGAGCGGGCGUCGCGCGCGCCUGGACGACGCGAGAGAGCAGUGGGCAGGGGUGCGUCGCUGCCGGCGGCCCCGCUGCUGCAUUACCGCCGACGCGAGAGAGCAGCAGGCCUGGCAGGGGCGCGGCCAUGUCUCGCGGGAAACAGAAGCAGCGCAGACGGCGAUGGACAGCAGCAGCGGCGCAGGUAGGCGCGGCCUGGGGUCAACCGGGAGCGCGGAUCGCGACAGCGUGAAGGAGCGCAGACACCGCCACGGUGAGCUUCGGCCAUGGCGGCGAGGCGGUGACAUACGACACGAAUCGAGACCUUGGAAGAUGGGAUCCAGAGGAGAAGCUCACCGCGAGUUGGAUGAUGAGGUCGGGGAGGCCGAGGACGGACCGGAGCCGUGGCGAACAACGUCAGACGCCGGCGAUGUACCGAUGAAGAUGUGCCUGAUGCCGAGUGUACUGGGCAUCCUAGCUCGAGCCCUUCAGCGAGGGUGAAAGAGACAGCGAUGGCGGAGCUCCUCGAUGUCUUCUGAGGCGGUGAGGUGGACGGUGGCUGCGGUGAUGAUGACGACCAUGACCAGGGCGAGCUCUAAAUCUGAACAGAGAGGCGCGAGGGGAAUGAACUGGAUGGCUAGUGUUUGUCCACUCCGUCGGGGAGGUCCUUAUGCAUCUCCAGGGGGCUCCGGAUGGUCGACACGGCGACAUCCGUGGCAUGGACAGCCGUGUGCGCGGCCACGCCAGGGCGCUGCCUCCUCCUGUACAGUAGGAAGAAGGAGAAGGCCAUGGUGGGCUUGGGACGUGCACUGUAGUUGCAUAGAGCCCAUAUGUACAGUAGGUUUUAAGUCUUUUAUUUUUCCUUUUCUGUUGAAACAAAAUAGCUUCAUAAUAAACAAAACUUGAACCUAAGUUAUUAUUAUAAAAUAGGCUACUGCCACAAUUUGCUCGGUAGUUAAAUAAAUUAGAUUAGCAUUUUUUUAUAAUUUAAAAAGCAAUUAUAGUAGCAAAAUAAAUUAGAUUAGCAGGCUAUGCAUCAGAAUAGGAGCAAACAAUUAUAGUAGCAAAAUAUAAUGCAAGCAUGAGAGAAAGGAAAUGGACGAUAUCGGGAUGACCAAAGGGGGGGCUUGCCUGGUUGCUCGGUGGCAAAGGCAGUGUUGUCCGCUGUGAAGUCGAUCACAAGGGCAACAUCGGUCUCGGGGUCUACCGGAGAGAAGAGGGGGAAGAAACAGUAAUUAUAAAGAAAACAAAGCAUCAUAAAGCAUAACAUGGUAAUACGCGGUGUUAGAGGUGAACUAACGCAGUGCUAGACGUUGCAGACGGAGAGGGAAAACAUCCGGAGGGUUUUCCCGACGUCUGAUGUUUUCCGGACAAAUGAAAAGAGAAGGGAUGGUUCCAUGUUCAGCAUGCUAGGGGCAUGUGACAGAUGAAUGAACCGCGUAUCCGGAUUCGUUGGAUUUUUCUGAACAACUUUUAUGUAAAAAACAAUUUCAUCCGAGCUAUGGUUUAUUUUCUAUUAAGUUUUAUAGUUUUAACAAUAUUCUGAAAUUUCUGCUUUUGAUUAAUUCGAGUUGACCAAGUCAAAUUGACUGGUAAAAUAGUUAUGGAUGGCCCACAUGUCAUAGGUUGUACCAAAUAAAUAAAUAAAACUAACCUAAUUAAAUGGGACCCACAUGUCAUAGGGUAGCAACUAAUUUAACUAGUACUAAUUAGCCCCUAACCUAACCUAAUCCUAAUUAAUUCGGCCGGCCAUUGGUAUAGCCAUGCCUCACAUUCACUGGCUGUGCCACGGUUGUGUGGGCACGGUCAGCACGCAUGGGCCUGAGCCACGGCAGCCAUGGUCAUGAGCAGCAGCAACUAUAACGCAGAACCAAGGCAUCAUCUAUCAUACGCAACAGUAGUAGUGAGCAGCAGAGCAGCAUGGAGCAGAGUGGUAGCAAAGCAGCAUGGAGCAGAGUAGUAGCAAAGCAGCAUAGCACCAAAGCAAAGGAAGCAGCGGCGGCGGUAGCAGCACACCAGGGUGGGCGAGCGGGCGUCGCGCGCGCCUGGAUGAUGCGAGAGAGCAGUGGGUAGGGGCGCGUCGCUGCCGGCGGCCCCGCUGCUGCACUACCGCCGACGCGAGAGAGCAGCGGGCCUGGCAGGGGCGCGGCCAUGUCCUGCGGGCAACAGAAGCAGCGUGGACGGCGAUGGACAGCGGCAGCGGCACGGGUAGGCGCGGCCUGGGGUCACCCGGGAGCGCGGACCGCGACACUAUGAGCGCGAUGGAGCACAGACACGGCCAUAGUGAGCUUCGGCCAUGGUGGCGGGGCGGUGACAUACGACACGAAUCGAGACCUGGGAAGAGGGGAUUUGGAGGAGAAGCUCACCGCGAGUUGGAUGAUGAGGUCGGGGAGGCCGGGGACGGACCUGAGCCGUGGCAAACGACGCUGGACGCCGGCGAUGUACCGAUGAAGAUGUGCCCGAUGCCGAGCGUACUAGGUGUCCUAGCUCGAGCCCUUCGGCGAGGGCGGAGCUCCUCGACGUCUUCUCAGGCGCUGAGGUGGAGGGUGGCCGUGGUGACGACGACGACCAAGACCAGGGCGAGCUCUAAAUCUGAACAGAGAGGCGCGAGGGGAACGAACUGGACGGCUAGGGUUUGUCCACUCGGUCGGGGAGGUCUUUAUGCAUCUCCAGGGGGCUCCGGAUGGUCGACA